This 450-nucleotide ribosomal RNA is filed under the name uncultured Corynebacterium sp. Its description in RNAcentral is "bacterial SSU rRNA". It matches the Rfam family "Bacterial small subunit ribosomal RNA", at positions 336 to 798 of the family's 1533-position model. Lineage: Bacteria; Bacillati; Actinomycetota; Actinomycetes; Mycobacteriales; Corynebacteriaceae. The record is from RNAcentral.
UUCCUACGGGUGGCAGCAGUGGGGAAUAUUGCACAAUGGGCGGAAGCCUGAUGCAGCGACGCCGCGUGGGGGAUGACGGCCUUCGGGUUGUAAACUCCUUUCACCAUCGACGAAGGUUUUCUGACGGUAGAUGGAGAAGAAGCACCGGCUAACUACGUGCCAGCAGCCGCGGUAAUACGUAGGGUGCGAGCGUUGUCCGGAAUUACUGGGCGUAAAGAGCUCGUAGGUGGUUUGUCGCGUCGUCUGUGAAAUUCCGGGGCUUAACUCCGGGCGUGCAGGCGAUACGGGCAUAACUUGAGUACUGUAGGGGAGACUGGAAUUCCUGGUGUAGCGGUGAAAUGCGCAGAUAUCAGGAGGAACACCGGUGGCGAAGGCGGGUCUCUGGGCAGUAACUGACGCUGAGGAGCGAAAGCAUGGGUAGCGAACAGGAUUAGAUACCCCUGUAGUCAU